GAUGAACGCUAGCGGCAGGCUUAAUACAUGCAAGUCAAGGGGUAGCAAUACAACCGGCGCACGGGUGAGUAACGCGUACACAACAUACCAUAUACUGGAGUAUAGCUUUGGGAAACUGAAGGUAAUCCUCCAUAACAUUGCGAGAGGGCAUCUGAUUGCAAUUAAAGUUUCGGCGGUAUAUGAUUGGUGUGCGUUUGAUUAGCUAGUUGGUAGGGUAACGGCCUACCAAGGCGACGAUCAAUAGCUGGCGUGAGAGCGCGACCAGCCACACUGGAACUGAGACACGGUCCAGACUCCUACGGGAGGCAGCAGUAGGGAAUAUUGGACAAUGGAGGAAACUCUGAUCCAGCCAUGCCGCGUGAUAGAUGAAGGCCU
RNAcentral lists this ribosomal RNA (375 nucleotides) under uncultured bacterium. RNAcentral describes it as "bacterial SSU rRNA". It matches the Rfam family "Bacterial small subunit ribosomal RNA", at positions 28 to 417 of the family's 1533-position model. The record is from RNAcentral.